CCUACGGGUGGCAGCAGUGGGGAAUAUUGCGCAAUGGGCGAAAGCCUGACGCAGCGACGCCGCGUGAGGGAUGAAGGUCUUCGGAGCGGAAACCUCUGUCAGCAGGGAAGAACGGUCACGGUGCUAAGCAGCAGUGAAUUGACGGUACGGGCAAAGGAAGCACCGGCUAACGCCGUGCCAGCAGCCGCGGUAAGACGGAUGGUGCGUGCGUUAAUCGGAAUUACUGGGCGGAAAGCGCUCGUAGGCGGUAUGUCAAGUCAAGGGUGAAAUCCCCGAGCUCAACGUGGGAACUGCCUUUGAAACUGGCAAACUGGAGUGUGUGUGAGGUUAGUGGAAUUCCCGGUGU
This 346-nucleotide ribosomal RNA is filed under the name uncultured bacterium. Its description in RNAcentral is "partial 16S ribosomal RNA". It matches the Rfam family "Bacterial small subunit ribosomal RNA", at positions 338 to 676 of the family's 1533-position model. The record is from RNAcentral.